Molecule: transfer RNA, 73 nt
Filed under: Streptomyces phage Sham
Lineage: Duplodnaviria; Heunggongvirae; Uroviricota; Caudoviricetes; Stanwilliamsviridae
Description: tRNA-Arg
Rfam family: tRNA
About the family: Transfer RNA (tRNA) molecules are approximately 80 nucleotides in length. Their secondary structure includes four short double-helical elements and three loops (D, anti-codon, and T loops).
Source: RNAcentral
GCCAGAUUAGUUGUAGUGGAAACACACAUCUUUCGUAGUGAUGAGUCAUCGGUUCGAUUCCGAUAUCUGGCUC